ACGUUCGGGUAAUCGCUGCAGCACUUAUGCUGUAGAGGAAAGUCCAUGCUCACACAGUGCUGAGAUGCCUGUAGUGUUCGUGCCUAGCGAAACCAUAAGCUAGGGCAGUCCGGCUUCGGCUGGAUUGACGGCGGGGAAAGCAGCCUAAGUCUUCGGAUAUGGUGCAAGUACUCUGAAAGUGCCACAGUGACGUAGCUUUAUAAGAAAUUAUAAAGGUGGAACGAGGUAAACCCCUCGAGUGAGCAACCCAAAUUUGGUAGGGGCACCUUCUUUGAGGAAAUGAACGAGAAGAAGGGCGGGUGUUUUGUCACCCGCAGAUAGAUGAUUACCGCCGGAGUACAAGACCGUCCCUGGUCGUUUGUAGUACGAUGGUACAGAACAUGGCUUACAGAA
This 393-nucleotide RNase P RNA is filed under the name Bacillus thermotolerans. RNAcentral's name for it is "Quasibacillus thermotolerans Bacterial RNase P class B". It matches the Rfam family "Bacterial RNase P class B". From Rfam's summary of the family: Ribonuclease P (RNase P) is a ubiquitous endoribonuclease, found in archaea, bacteria and eukarya as well as chloroplasts and mitochondria. The record is from Rfam by way of RNAcentral. Lineage: Bacteria; Bacillati; Bacillota; Bacilli; Caryophanales; Bacillaceae.